CCUACGGGCGGCUGCAGUGAGGAAUAUUGGUCAAUGGACGUAAGUCUGAACCAGCCAUCCCGCGUGCAGGAAGAAGGCGCUAUGCGUCGUAAACUGCUUUUCCAGGGGAAGAAAACCUGAUACGUGUAUCGGCUUGCCGGUACCCUGGGAAUAAGCAUCGGCUAACUCCGUGCCAGCAGCCGCGGUAAUACGGAGGAUGCGAGAGUUAUCCGGAUUUAAUGGGUUUAAGGGGGACUAAGAAGGCUUCGUUGAAAACCUUCAGCUUAACUGGAGACUUGCCAUUGAUACUGUUAGUCUUGAGUACGGUCAAGGUAGGCGGAAUGUGUAAUGUAGCGGUGAAAUGCUUAGAUAUUACACAGAACACCGAUUGCGAAGGCAGCUUACUGGGCCAUUACUGACGCUGAUGCACGAAAGCGUGGGGAGCGAACAGGAUUAGAUACCCGUGUAGUC
RNAcentral lists this ribosomal RNA (450 nucleotides) under uncultured bacterium. RNAcentral's name for it is "partial 16S ribosomal RNA". It matches the Rfam family "Bacterial small subunit ribosomal RNA", at positions 338 to 795 of the family's 1533-position model. The record is from RNAcentral.